This 158-nucleotide ribosomal RNA is filed under the name Thamnolecania brialmontii. Its description in RNAcentral is "5.8S ribosomal RNA". It matches the Rfam family "5.8S ribosomal RNA". From Rfam's summary of the family: 5.8S ribosomal RNA (5.8S rRNA) is a component of the large subunit of the eukaryotic ribosome. It is transcribed by RNA polymerase I as part of the 45S precursor that also contains 18S and 28S rRNA. The record is from RNAcentral. Lineage: Eukaryota; Fungi; Ascomycota; Lecanoromycetes; Lecanorales; Ramalinaceae.
AAACUUUCAACAACGGAUCUCUUGGUUCUGGCAUCGAUGAAGAACGCAGCGAAAUGCGAUAAGUAAUGUGAAUUGCAGAAUUCAGUGAAUCAUCGAAUCUUUGAACGCACAUUGCGCCCCUCGGCACUCCGGGGGGCAUGCCUGUUCGAGCGUCAUUG